This 397-nucleotide ribosomal RNA is filed under the name uncultured bacterium. RNAcentral describes it as "partial 16S ribosomal RNA". It matches the Rfam family "Bacterial small subunit ribosomal RNA", at positions 338 to 732 of the family's 1533-position model. The record is from RNAcentral.
CCUACGGGUGGCAGCAGUGGGGAAUAUUGGACAAUGGGCUUACCCCUGAUCCAGCGACGCCGCGUGAGGGAAGAAUGCCCUCUGGAUUGUAAACCCCAUUAGCAGGGGAGCAAAGCCGACUACGUGUAGCCGGACUGCGAGUACCUGAAGAAAAAGCAUCGGCUAACUCCGUGCCAGCAGCCGCGUUAAUACGGGGUAUGCGGGCGUUAUCGGGAGUGAUUGGGUUGAAAGGGUGCGUAGGCGGAAUGCCAAGUCAGCGGGAAAAUCGCGGGGCCAAACCUCGCUCCGCCGUUGAAACUGGCGGUCUUGAGUGGACGAGAAGUAUGCGGAAUGCGUGGUGUAGCGGUGAAAUGCAUAGAUAUCACGCAGAACUCCGAUGGCGAAGGCAGCAUACCGG